RNAcentral lists this transfer RNA (91 nucleotides) under Armatimonadota bacterium. RNAcentral's name for it is "Armatimonadetes bacterium (hot springs metagenome) tRNA-Ser". It matches the Rfam family "tRNA". Rfam says of the family: Transfer RNA (tRNA) molecules are approximately 80 nucleotides in length. Lineage: Bacteria; Bacillati; Armatimonadota. The record is from RNAcentral.
GGAGAGGUGGCCGAGUGGCUGAAGGCGGCGGUCUCGAAAACCGCUGUGGCGCUUGUCGUCACCGUGGGUUCGAAUCCCACCCUCUCCGCCA